This 86-nucleotide small nuclear RNA is filed under the name Cricetulus griseus (Chinese hamster). RNAcentral describes it as "7SK RNA". It matches the Rfam family "7SK RNA", at positions 8 to 99 of the family's 331-position model. Rfam says of the family: 7SK was discovered as an abundant small nuclear RNA in the mid-70s but a possible function has only recently been suggested. Two independent studies have found that 7SK RNA binds the CDK9/cyclin T complex (known as elongation factor P-TEFb). Lineage: Eukaryota; Metazoa; Chordata; Mammalia; Rodentia; Cricetidae. The record is from Rfam by way of RNAcentral.
CAGCUGAUCUGGCUGUGACAUCUGUCAUCCCACUGAUCACAAUGGUUGAUUCAGCUGAUCUGGCUGUGACAUCUGCCAUCCCACUG